AAAUAAUUCAAACAAAUAUGUAGAAUUCCCUAGUUUUGAGGAUUGAGUAGUGAGUGGUGUGGAUAAUGCUACUACUAACACCCUAACUCAUAUUUAGAUGAGGAUUUAAAAAAUAAAAUAACAAAACAAGCAUUGACUUUAGUUUGGCCUGCAUCUUCGAUCUGCCUCAAUUAAAUCGUUGUUUCUCUUUUUCCUUUCUUUCGUCGGAAUUGCCAAGGGACAGAGAACAGAUGUGGUCUCUAAUUAUUGUACUGCUGUUUCUAAUCUCAGAGGUACUAGGAUUAAACCAUCCAUUACAGUAUUAAACCAUCUAAAACCAGUCACAAGUACCAAAAUCAUUAAAAAACAAAAAAGAUGCAAGUCUACAAUACGGUAAAAGAAAAGAAAAUCACACAAAAAAAAAACACGCACACCAAAGAAAAUCAGAUGAAACUCUCGGACGACAAAAAGACUAAACUAGCUAGCACUUACCUGGACUUUCCGCACUGACCUGGAGUGUUACGACGAAC
This 509-nucleotide long non-coding RNA is filed under the name Zostera marina. Its description in RNAcentral is "long non-coding RNA (ZMAR_LNC004302)". Lineage: Eukaryota; Viridiplantae; Streptophyta; Magnoliopsida; Alismatales; Zosteraceae. The record is from RNAcentral.